This 87-nucleotide transfer RNA is filed under the name Edwardsiella ictaluri. RNAcentral describes it as "tRNA-Leu". It matches the Rfam family "tRNA". Rfam says of the family: Transfer RNA (tRNA) molecules are approximately 80 nucleotides in length. Their secondary structure includes four short double-helical elements and three loops (D, anti-codon, and T loops). Lineage: Bacteria; Pseudomonadati; Pseudomonadota; Gammaproteobacteria; Enterobacterales; Hafniaceae. The record is from RNAcentral.
GCGAAGGUGGCGGAAUUGGUAGACGCGCUAGUUUCAGGUGUUAGUGUCUUAACGGACGUGAGGGUUCAAGUCCCUCUCUUCGCACCA